UCCGAGUUAUCCCCGGCAGUCUCCCAUGAGUCCCCGGCCGAACCGCUGGCAACAUAGGAUAAGGGUUGCGCUCGUUGCGGGACUUAACCCAACAUCUCACGACACGAGCUGACGACAGCCAUGCACCACCUGUCACGGGCCCUUACGGGCACUGUAUUUCUACAGUUUUUCCCGUGAUGUCAAACCCAGGUAAGGUUCUUCGCGUUGCGUCGAAUUAAACCACAUGCUCCGCUGCUCGUGCGGGCCCCCGUCAAUUCCUUUGAGUUUCAGUCUUGCGACCGUACUCCCCAGGCGGCGAACUUAACGCGUUAGCUUCGAUACUGCGUGCCAAAUUGCACCCAACAUCCAGUUCGCAUCGUUUAGGGCGUGGACUAC
Molecule: unclassified non-coding RNA, 375 nt
Filed under: uncultured bacterium
Lineage: Bacteria
Description: contains 16S-23S intergenic spacer region
Source: RNAcentral